GAUGUACGCUAGCUACAGGCUUAACACAUGCAAGUCGAGGGGAAACGACAUCGAAAGCUUGCUUUUGAUGGGCGUCGACCGGCGCACGGGUGAGUAACGCGUAUCCAACCUGCCCAUCACUUGGGAAUAACCUUGCGAAAGUAAGACUAAUACCCAAUGACAUCCCACGAAGACAUCUGAAUGGGAUUAAAGAUUUAUCGGUGAUGGAUGGGGAUGCGUCUGAUUAGCUUGUUGGCGGGGUAACGGCCCACCAAGGCAACGAUCAGUAGGGGUUAUGAGAGGAAGGUCCCCCACAUUGGAACUGAGACACGGUCCAAACUCCUACGGGAGGCAGCAGUGAGGAAUAUUGGUCAAUGGGCGAGAGCCUGAACCAGCCAAGUAGCGUGCAGAAUGACGGCCCUAUGGGUUGUAAACUGCUUUUAUAAGGGAAUAAAGUGGGUCUCGUGAGACUUUUUGCAUGUACCUUAUGAAUAAGGACCGGCUAAUUCCGUG
This 492-nucleotide ribosomal RNA is filed under the name uncultured bacterium. RNAcentral describes it as "partial 16S ribosomal RNA". It matches the Rfam family "Bacterial small subunit ribosomal RNA", at positions 28 to 507 of the family's 1533-position model. The record is from RNAcentral.